This 253-nucleotide ribosomal RNA is filed under the name uncultured bacterium. RNAcentral describes it as "partial 16S ribosomal RNA". It matches the Rfam family "Bacterial small subunit ribosomal RNA", at positions 524 to 776 of the family's 1533-position model. The record is from RNAcentral.
GACGAACCGUGCGAACGUUGUUCGGAAUCACUGGGCUUAAAGGGCGCGUAGGCGGCUCGCGAGGUCGGGGGUGAAAGCCCGCAGCUUAACUGCGGAAGGGCCUUCGAUACCGGCGGGCUGGAGGAAGGUAGGGGUGCGCGGAACUUCUGGUGGAGCGGUGAAAUGCGUUGAUAUCAGAAGGAACGCCGGCGGCGAAAGCGGCGCACUGGACCUUUGCUGACGCUGAGGCGCGAAAGCCAGGGGAGCAAACGGG